This 396-nucleotide long non-coding RNA is filed under the name Homo sapiens (human). RNAcentral's name for it is "non-protein coding lnc-OLIG1-2:2". The record is from RNAcentral. Lineage: Eukaryota; Metazoa; Chordata; Mammalia; Primates; Hominidae.
CUGGGUGUGGUGACAUGCACCUGUAGUCCCAGCUACUCAGGAGGCUGAGGAGGAUGAGGGCCUGGGGCUGCGGGUGCAGAGGGUUGUUGGGGUCCAGGUGUUCAGUGCCUUGCGCGCGUGGCUGUCGCUCUGCCCCUCUGGUAUUGCCCGGCUGUAUCACAACCCUUAGAUGUGUCCAAACGGUCCUUGUGUGUAUAAGACACACACCCACGCACAUUUGGGAGAAGGGGGUAGUCAGUGUCUCUUUACAUUGCAGCGGUACGUUAAACCCCGUCUGGGUUAUUUUAAGCCUGAAGUUCAUGAAAGGAAACAUUUGAGUAAGUUAAGGCUGUGUUGAAUGCCGCGUUCCUUAUGACCUUGCCAUCUGAAUGUGAUGGUGGUUCCCAGAAGAAACAA